UAUUUCCUUAUCUCACUCAACCACCGAAGCCCACACACAUACACCCUCUAGUUCCCUCUAUUUCUCUCACUCCCUCAACAGUAAACCAGCCAUCCACCACCACUUUUGGCGGAUUUCACCGGAGAACCCCAUUAGCAACCCCAUACGCUCCAUUCUCUCAAAGCUUUAAAAGUUCCAAUAAUCUUGGUGAUUGACCUAGUGACUGGAUUAGUUGAUUUUGUGGUGCCCGGUUGAGGUAAAAUUGGCUAGCCUUCCGAGGUAAGUAGCUUUUUAUGGUAUUUUUGGAAAAUAACCAUGUUGUAUAAACAUUGUUUUCGGGUCAAACACAUUUUAGAAAAUUAAUGGUGGAACUAUCUUUUUCUAAAAAGUGUUAUGUUGUGACCCUACUAUAUAUGAUUAUAUAUGAAAGUGCAUAUUUUUAUUUCAUAUGGGGAAUUGCAUGAUUGUUAGCAUGGAAAAGACUAGCAUCUUUGAUUGAAUUCUUGAGAAUGCGUUUUAUGGAUUCAUUGCAUUAUUUGCAAAUUCUAAAGAUGCUUUAUCUUAGCUUGUAUUAUUUGGGAAAUUUACACAAAAUAUUUAUGUCAAGAAAUAGUUUAGAGGAUUUUGAGAAUAUUGUAGCUAUUUGGUUAUUGAAAUAUUUUAUGAAACUACUUAGAAGUGAACUGUGUAUUUUAAAUACAUUAACUUGUGAGCUUUUGACAUGGUUUUGUCAUUGUGCCAUGAUAUUGGUGAUUACCCUGUCUGUGUGACAACCUCGUCUGUGUGACGACCCACCGUCUAUGUGAUGACCCCGUCUAUGUGACGACCCCGUCUGUGUGACGACCCACUGUCCGUGUGACGAUCCCAUCUGUGUGACGACCCGUCUUUGUGACAACUCAUCUGUGUGACAACCUUGUCAUGUGGCCUUGGUUUUUCAGAUAAAUUUGCUAUACCUCAAGCAUGGAGCUUGUUUUAUUGGUGGUGAUUGGAGCAUUAUGCUAAGUGAGAGAUUUAUGCUAUUGAGGUUGCAUACUUUAGAGAGGAUCAUAACUUUGUGUUUAUUUUAUUUGGAACGUUGGAUUGUUAAGUGUAUUUGGAGUCACAUGAUUGUAGUUUGUUUUGCUUGUAAAUGUGUCAUAGAGCUCUGACUUGUAUUGUGGAGAGAUCAAUAUAUUUAUUUAUUUUAUCAAA
Molecule: long non-coding RNA, 1170 nt
Organism: Quercus lobata
Lineage: Eukaryota; Viridiplantae; Streptophyta; Magnoliopsida; Fagales; Fagaceae
Exons: 3
Source: RefSeq, a predicted model, not a curated record